This 403-nucleotide ribosomal RNA is filed under the name uncultured bacterium. RNAcentral describes it as "bacterial SSU rRNA". It matches the Rfam family "Bacterial small subunit ribosomal RNA", at positions 355 to 775 of the family's 1533-position model. The record is from RNAcentral.
UAGGGAAUAUUAGUAAUGGGCGAAAGCCUGAACUAGCAACGCCGCGUGUGCGAAGAAGGCCUUCGGGUUGUAAAGCACUUUUUGAGAGGAUGAGGAAGGACGGUACUCUCAGAAUAAGUCUCGGCUAACUACGUGCCAGCAGCCGCGGUAACACGUAGGAGGCGAACGUUAUCCGGAUUUACUGGGCGUAAAGCGCGUGUAGGUGGUUUGAUAAGUAGGGCGUGAAAGCUCCUGGCUCAACUGGGAGAGGCCGUUCUAAACUGCCGAACUAGAGGAUGGUAGAGGGAGGUGGAAUUCCGGGUGUAGCGGUGGAAUGCGCAGAUAUCCGGAGGAACACCAGUGGCGAAAGCGGCCUCCUGGACCACUCCUGACACUGAGACGCGAAAGCUAGGGUAGCAAACGG